Long non-coding RNA from Sinocyclocheilus grahami, 813 nucleotides. RefSeq lists it as uncharacterized. The transcript is spliced from 6 exons. The record is from RefSeq and is a predicted model, not a curated record. Lineage: Eukaryota; Metazoa; Chordata; Actinopteri; Cypriniformes; Cyprinidae.
GCCACUGACCCGCGAGAUUACUCGGUCCCUCAGCUCCUGAUUAUGUGCUGUUACAUUCUUAUUUUAAACUAAUAUGAGCUGUGACAUGUCAACGGAGAACAGAUGCUGGAGUGUGAACACAGAGGAAGGGGCAGACUGUAUAUCAGAUCAAGCACACGUUUUUCAGGGAAAACAGGCACCCAACACAGAGACUACAGUGGCACAAGAAAAGGGGAAUAGGACUUGUCACCAUCAUCAGUCCUUUAUUUCAUUCACUGGAGAACAUCACAACCUUCAGAUGUGUCCUAUCAGGAUAAAUGCUGCUGCAGGGGAAAUUAUAUGAAGAUUCUCCAAGGAUCCAGCUGAAGCCCCGUUCACACUACAAGUGACACGCAACGUCAAAGCAACACGAUCCCAUUCAUUUCAAUGGAGAGCUGGUGAUUUCCGGCGACAAGAGCAACAGAGGCCGUUGGUGACCAGAUGACACGACAAAGUUCAGAAUCCUUCAACUUUAUGCAAAUGAAGAGCGACUUUCAGGAGCGACAGCCAGUAGGAAAGAAGAUGGUAGUUCUCCUCUCAGCCGUAGAUGAACAUACGCAAUGGGAAAAACGGCAAGAAACCUGAUUCGCUGUGAAGGCAACCAGUAGUGAGAACGCCCAAGCAACCUCAUCGCCAGCCCGUGAACGCAGCUUGAUUACUGGCCACUUGGAGGAGGAUUGUCCUUUAUCUGCUACACUGCACUGUCACUUCUGGGGAGGGCAGCAUCCUCAUACAUCAUCUUCCUGACAGUUUAAAAUGUCCUUUUUUUAAUUAUUAUUUUUAGUAUCACCAUGA